AGACAAUAGAUACCCGGGUAGUCCCGGCCCUAAACGAUGAACACUUGGCGUAGCGGGUUUUACCCCCGCUGUGCCGGAGCUAAACGCGUUAAAGUGUUCCGCCUGGGGAGUACGGUCGCAAGGCCGAAACUCAAAGGAAUUGACGGGGGCCCGGCACAAGCGGUGGAGCAUGUGGUUUAAUUCGACGCAACGCGAAGAACCUUACCUGGGCUCGAAGCGUAGAGGAAUCCGGAUGAAAGUUCAGCGCCCGCAAGGGCCUUUACGUAGGUGCUGCAUGGCUGUCGUCAGCUCGUGUCGUGAGAUGUUGAGUUAAGUCCCGCAACGAGCGCAACCCCUAUCUUUGGUUGCUACCCGCAAGGGGCACUCUAAAGAAACCUGUCGGCCAAAACGCCGAAGGAAGGUGGGGAUGACGUCAAGUCCUCAUGGCCUUUAUGUCCAGGGCCACACACGUGCUACAAUGGCCGGUACAAAGCGUCGCAAACCCGGCGAGGGGGUAGCCAAUCGCAAAAAAACCCGGGUUCUCAGUUCGGAUUGCAGUCUGCAACUCGACUGCAUGAAGCUGGAAUCGC
This 569-nucleotide ribosomal RNA is filed under the name uncultured bacterium. RNAcentral describes it as "bacterial SSU rRNA". It matches the Rfam family "Bacterial small subunit ribosomal RNA", at positions 775 to 1335 of the family's 1533-position model. The record is from RNAcentral.